UACGUAGGUGGCAAGCGUUGUCCGGAUUUACUGGGCGUAAAGAGCGCGCAGGCGGUCGUUCAAGUCGCGUGUGAAAGCCCCCGGCUCAACUGGGGAGGGUCACGCGAUACUGAUCGACUGGAAGGCAGGAGAGGGUAGUGGAAUUCCCGGUGUAGUGGUGAAAUGCGUAGAUAUCGGGAGGAACACCGGUGGCGAAGGCGGCAUUCUGGACCGAUAUUGACGCUGAGGAGCGAAAGCCAGGGGAGCAAACGGG
This 253-nucleotide ribosomal RNA is filed under the name uncultured bacterium. Its description in RNAcentral is "partial 16S ribosomal RNA". It matches the Rfam family "Bacterial small subunit ribosomal RNA", at positions 524 to 776 of the family's 1533-position model. The record is from RNAcentral.